Molecule: ribosomal RNA, 302 nt
Filed under: uncultured bacterium
Lineage: Bacteria
Description: partial 16S ribosomal RNA
Rfam family: Bacterial small subunit ribosomal RNA
Source: RNAcentral
GCAGUAGCCACGGGAAUACAGAGGGUGCGAGCGUUAAUCGGAUUUACUGGGCGUAAAGCGUGCGUAGGCGGCUUUUUAAGUCGGAUGUGAAAUCCCUGAGCUUAACUUAGGAAUUGCAUUCGAUACUGGGAAGCUAGAGUAUGGGAGAGGAUGGUAGAAUUCCAGGUGUAGCGGUGAAAUGCGUAGAGAUCUGGAGGAAUACCGAUGGCGAAGGCAGCCAUCUGGCCUAAUACUGACGCUGAGGUACGAAAGCAUGGGGAGCAAACAGGAUUAGAUACCCGCGUAGUCCCUGUCUCUUAUAC